UACGUAGGGUGCAAGCGUUAAUCGGAAUUACCGGGCGUAAAGCGUGCGCAGGCGGUCCUAUAAGACAGAUGUGAAAUCCCCGGGCUCAACCUGGGAACUGCAUUUGUGACUGUAGGGCUAGAGUACGGUAGAGGGGGAUGGAAUUCCGCGUGUAGCAGUGAAAUGCGUAGAUAUGCGGAGGAACACCGAUGGCGAAGGCAAUCCCCUGGACCUGUACUGACGCUCAUGCACGGAAGCGUGGGGAGCAGACAGG
This 253-nucleotide ribosomal RNA is filed under the name uncultured bacterium. Its description in RNAcentral is "partial 16S ribosomal RNA". It matches the Rfam family "Bacterial small subunit ribosomal RNA", at positions 524 to 776 of the family's 1533-position model. The record is from RNAcentral.